This 292-nucleotide ribosomal RNA is filed under the name uncultured bacterium. RNAcentral describes it as "partial 16S ribosomal RNA". It matches the Rfam family "Bacterial small subunit ribosomal RNA", at positions 505 to 796 of the family's 1533-position model. The record is from RNAcentral.
GUGCCAGCCGCCGCGGUAAUACAUGGGGUGCAAACGUUGCUCGGAAUCAUUGGGCGUAAAGCGCGCGUAGGCGGUUACUUAUGUCGGAUGUGAAAGCCCUCGGCUUAACUGAGGAAGUGCAUUCGAAACUGGGUAGCUAGAGUACUAAAGAGGGUCGCGGAAUUCCCGGUGUAGAGGUGAAAUUCGUAGAUAUCGGGAGGAACACCGGUGGCGAAGGCGGCGACCUGGGUAGAUACUGACGCUGAGGCGCGAAAGCGUGGGGAGCAAACAGGAUUAGAUACCCUCGUAGUCC